CGGGACACGUGGUAUCCUGUCUGAAUAUGGGGGGACCAUCCUCCAAGGCUAAAUACUCCUGACUGACCGAUAGUGAACCAGUACCGUGAGGGAAAGGCGAAAAGAACCCCGGCGAGGGGAGUGAAAAAGAACCUGAAACCGUGUACGUACAAGCAGUGGGAGCACGCUUAGGCGUGUGACUGCGUACCUUUUGUAUAAUGGGUCAGCGACUUAUAUUCUGUAGCAAGGUUAACCGAAUAGGGGAGCCGAAGGGAAACCGAGUCUUAACUGGGCGUUAAGUUGCAGGGUAUAGACCCGAAACCCGGUGAUCUAGCCAUGGGCAGGUUGAAGGUUGGGUAACACUAACUGGAGGACCGAACCGACUAAUGUUGAAAAAUUAGCGGAUGACUUGUGGCUGGGGGUGAAAGGCCAAUCAAACCGGGAGAUAGCUGGUUCUCCCCGAAAGCUAUUUAGGUAGCGCCUCGUGAAUUCAUCUCCGGGGGUAGAGCACUGUUUCGGCAAGGGGGUCAUCCCGACUUACCAACCCGAUGCAAACUGCGAAUACCGGAGAAUGUUAUCACGGGAGACACACGGCGGGUGCUAACGUCCGUCGUGAAGAGGGAAACAACCCAGACCGCCAGCUAAGGUCCCAAAGUCAUGGUUAAGUGGGAAACGAUGUGGGAAGGCCCAGACAGCCAGGAUGUUGGCUUAGAAGCAGCCAUCAUUUAAAGAAAGCGUAAUAGCUCACUGGUCGAGUCGGCCUGCGCGGAAGAUGUAACGGGGCUAAACCAUGCACCGAAGCUGCGGCAGCGACGCUUAUGCGUUGUUGGGUAGGGGAGCGUUCUGUAAGCCUGUGAAGGUGUGCUGUGAGGCAUGCUGGAGGUAUCAGAAGUGCGAAUGCUGACAUAAGUAACGAUAAAGCGGGUGAAAAGCCCGCUCGCCGGAAGACCAAGGGUUCCUGUCCAACGUUAAUCGGGGCAGGGUGAGUCGACCCCUAAGGCGAGGCCGAAAGGCGUAGUCGAUGGGAAACAGGUUAAUAUUCCUGUACUUGGUGUUACUGCGAAGGGGGGACGGAGAAGGCUAUGUUGGCCGGGCGACGGUUGUCCCGGUUUAAGCGUGUAGGCUGGUUUUCCAGGCAAAUCCGGAAAAUCAAGGCUGAGGCGUGAUGACGAGGCACUACGGUGCUGAAGCAACAAAUGCCCUGCUUCCAGGAAAAGCCUCUAAGCAUCAGGUAACAUCAAAUCGUACCCCAAACCGACACAGGUGGUCAGGUAGAGA
Molecule: ribosomal RNA, 1257 nt
Filed under: Escherichia coli
Lineage: Bacteria; Pseudomonadati; Pseudomonadota; Gammaproteobacteria; Enterobacterales; Enterobacteriaceae
Description: partial 23S ribosomal RNA
Rfam family: Bacterial large subunit ribosomal RNA
Source: RNAcentral